Molecule: long non-coding RNA, 2200 nt
Organism: Rhopilema esculentum
Lineage: Eukaryota; Metazoa; Cnidaria; Scyphozoa; Rhizostomeae; Rhizostomatidae
Source: RefSeq, a predicted model, not a curated record
CAAUGAAGUUGUGCGUGUUGUACGUCGAAAAUGAAUAGAAUUUGAUAACGACUUUAUACAAGAAAUGAAUAUUUGGUACAACGUUUCGAGCAUAACUCUUCAUCAGGUAAAAAGAAUAGAACGAGAAACGGCUAGAAGAGUAGAAUCUAAAUAUAAACUAUAUGGAACGUAGUAGGAAUACGAUGUAAAACGUAAGACAAGAUGGAAAUAUGUCAGGGGGUGGAAAGCGUAUAGAUAAGAUAAAGUAAACAUUAAUAAUAGCUGGAUUAGGAAAGAAACGAAAAUUGUUUAUUAAGAUCAUUAGGAAUAAGAGUACCAAGAUUAAAAAUAAUGCGUUUUUCGAGGGUUUUGCAUUUAGUGUUGUUAUGAGGUGGGUAGCAAAGUCCAGUGAUUUUCAUGUUGGCUGGUGUAUGGCCAUCUUGGUUGAGAUGAAUUGAGACUGUGGUAUUUAGGUCCUCUCUUCUUGAUUCUUGAAGGUAUAUUUUCUUCUCUACAUUGCGGAGAUGCUCACCAAAACGGGUAUUUAUCUGACGGGACGUCUCCCAAAUGUAGUGAAGGUCGCAUUUGGUGCAACUGAUACAGUAAAUAAGGCAGGAAGUUCUGCAUGUGAAAUGUUUCUUUAUAUGGAAGUAGCUGUUGUGGUUGCUAAUCGCGGUUGAGGUGUGAACCUGGGAGCAUUGUCCACCAGAGGUCUGGAGGUAUGCUUCAUUAUUGAAGUUGAAUGCGUUUGUUGUAAGAACAAGUUCAGCGAGGCGAAUGAGGGUGUCAGUAGGUGGAUCUUGAUGAGUGCAUUUGCAAAGAAAGUGCUUGAGAGCAAGUAAGCCGUCUUUGAGUGGAAUGAUGGUGUAAAGUGAUUUUAUAUCCAUGGUAAAAAGAAAACGGUGUGAAUCAGAAAUCUUUAGAACACGAAGAGCUGCUGAUCCAGAGCGCGGUCUUGACCUGGUGGUGGUGUCCAUGUUGACUUUGUUGGGAAAAGGUUGUCAAUGACGUUGGCAGCAGAUGCUGAUGGGUCCGCUGGAUCAUCGUCAGACGAUUUGUUAUGAAAAUGGGCUUUUAACCGAAGACGUCGAAAAAAAACCUCUGCAUUGUGAUAUAUUGAAAUUCGUCAAUGGAGUUUCCUUUUAGGGAUAAAUUUGAGGCCUUUGUUUAGAACGGAGCGUUCUUCAGUAAAUAGUGACAGGUCUUCUGAUAUUGUGAAUAUUAUAUUCCUUGGCUCCGACUCUUGAGGAGUAGCUCUGAAUGGUCGAUGAUUAAGAACAAGUUGGCUAAAUUUGUGAUUUUUUAGAUCUUUAAGGAAUGAGAUAAGAAUCCAGUUUCACGCGGUAGGUAAUAAUAAAAAGAGUGUAGAGUGUAGUGUAAAGAAGGUAGUGUUAAAAACUUUCGCACAACCGGCAUGCUUAGCGGCAGUUGUUUUGAUAAAUUGACUGUGUUUUGUAUUUUCAUGCAGUACGAUAUUAGGCCGGUCUUUGAAUUAUGAUCGCAAAGCGUGCCGGUUGCGCAAGAGCCUUUAAUCUAAGAUAUACAUGCAAUAUGAGAUUCUUUCGAUCGUUCCAAACAAUGAAAGUUCCAUCUAAAGAAGAACCUUGCAGAGAUUAUGUAGAGGACUAAGAUUGCCGGAAAUCAUUGAACAAGCCUCCUAGAGGACGUUUACUUUGAGACGUUUUUUGAUUGGUUCUAGUUCGAUGGGAAGCUUAAACGAGGGAGGUUGCUUGAAAAGAAUUUUCGAAGUCAUUUGAGAUGGCCUAAAAACAUGUAAUGCAAAAAUUGGCAAAUCAGGAUAGAGACUUUCUUAUGGGUGGGGUCUUACAAAAAAUGCACCUCCAGGUUGAGGAUUAAUUUGAGAGGCUAUAGGAUGGAGGUAACUGGGAACUUUGCAGUAGUAUUUUACAAAUUCAUCUUUGUGAGAUCAUAAAAAUACUUGCAACACAAGAGGAAAAACAAGAAGCAAAAGAGAACAAAGACUAGUUUGAUAAGAAGGCUUUCUUCUUAAAUAUUCUAAGCAUAUUUGAAGCUAAAUUGAGCAAAAAAUCGCAGCUUUUCUCGGCUUGAAACAAGGAGACUACUUAAAACAUUUUACUACAACCAUGGAUACUUUAGGAGACACCCCAAUUAAAAAAUAUACAAAAGUGGCAAGUAUUUUGGCAAAACAAGAUGAAAAGUUAACAACAGGUUUUCAACAAUGCGCGUUUUGACUAUAAUU